This 254-nucleotide unclassified non-coding RNA is filed under the name Hevea brasiliensis (rubber tree). Lineage: Eukaryota; Viridiplantae; Streptophyta; Magnoliopsida; Malpighiales; Euphorbiaceae. The record is from RNAcentral.
ACCUUAUCAGUAAUAAAAAUCUAAGUUUAGCAAACAUUCUGAAAUCAAUGAACAGUUGAGUGACCACGAGCAAAAUUAAGCCCUUCUAAAUUAAAAACCCUUCUAGUCCUGAAGUUUUUACCAGAACAACUAUUUAAUCCCUAAAAAUCUAAAAGUUGGACUAGAGUUUAUCAUUUAAAAGUUGAAGGAUCACAAGGCUGUUUAAUUUUUAAGGUGAUGCUUAAUGAAGGAUAAAGUGUAGCAAAUCUAGAAAG